AUUGAACGCUGGCGGCAGGCCUAACACAUGCAAGUCGAACGAGUGGCGGACGGGUGAGUAAUGUAUGGGAAACUGCCUGAUGGCGGGGGAUAACUACUGGAAACGGUGGCUAAUACCGCAUACCAUCGGAUGUGCCCAUAUGGGAUUAGCGAGUUGGUGGGGUAAAGGCUCCCCUAGGCCACGAUCCCUAGCUGGUCUGAGAGGAUGACCAGCCACACUGGAACUGAGACACGGUCCAGACUCCUACGGGAGGCAGCAGUGGGGAAUAUUGCACAAUGGGCGAAAGCCUGAUGCAGCCAUGCCGCGUGUAGGAAGAAGGCCUUCGGGUUGUAAAGUACUUUCAGCGGGGAGGCGUUACCCGCAGAAGAAGCAACGGCUAACUCCGUGCCAGCAGCCGCGGUAAUAC
This 406-nucleotide ribosomal RNA is filed under the name uncultured bacterium. RNAcentral describes it as "partial 16S ribosomal RNA". It matches the Rfam family "Bacterial small subunit ribosomal RNA", at positions 30 to 526 of the family's 1533-position model. The record is from RNAcentral.